This 69-nucleotide transfer RNA is filed under the name Urocitellus parryii (Arctic ground squirrel). RNAcentral's name for it is "Spermophilus parryii (Arctic ground squirrel) tRNA". It matches the Rfam family "tRNA". From Rfam's summary of the family: Transfer RNA (tRNA) molecules are approximately 80 nucleotides in length. Their secondary structure includes four short double-helical elements and three loops (D, anti-codon, and T loops). The record is from Rfam by way of RNAcentral. RNAcentral also lists the same sequence under 1 other name. Lineage: Eukaryota; Metazoa; Chordata; Mammalia; Rodentia; Sciuridae.
GGGGCUGUAGCUCAGUGGCAGAGUGCUUGCCUUGCACAUAUGAGGUACUGAGUUCAAUCCUCAGCACCA